Molecule: ribosomal RNA, 480 nt
Filed under: uncultured bacterium
Lineage: Bacteria
Description: partial 16S ribosomal RNA
Rfam family: Bacterial small subunit ribosomal RNA
Source: RNAcentral
GACGAACGCUGGCGGCGUGCUUAACACAUGCAAGUCAAGCGGAAAGGCCCUUUCGGGGGUACUCGAGCGGCGAACGGGUGAGUAACACGUGAGUAAUCUGCCCCUGGCUUUGGGAUAGCCACCGGAAACGGUGAUUAAUACCGGUUACGACCACUUCUCGCAUGGGAUGGUGGUGGAAAGUUUUUCGGCCAGGGAUGUGCUCGCGGCCUAUCAGCUUGAUGGUGAGGUAAUGGCUCACCAUGGCCUCGACGGGUAGCCGGCCUGAGAGGGUGACCGGUCACACUGGGACUGAGACACGGCCCAGACUCCUACGGGAGGCAGCAGUGGGGAAUAUUGGACAAUGGGCGGAAGCCUGAUCCAGCAACGCCGCGUGAGGGAUGACGGCCUUCGGGUUGUAAACCUCUUUCAGCAGGGACGAAGCGCAAGUGACGGUACCUGCAGAAGAAGCACCGGCCAACUACGUGCCAGCAGCCGCCGUAA